This 484-nucleotide ribosomal RNA is filed under the name uncultured bacterium. Its description in RNAcentral is "partial 16S ribosomal RNA". It matches the Rfam family "Bacterial small subunit ribosomal RNA", at positions 30 to 507 of the family's 1533-position model. The record is from RNAcentral.
AUUGAACGCUGGCGGCAGGCCUAACACAUGCAAGUCGAGCGGAUGAAGGGAGCUUGCUCCUGGAUUCAGCGGCGGACGGGUGAGUAAUGCCUAGGAAUCUGCCUGGUAGUGGGGGAUAACGUCCAGAAACGGGCGCUAAUACCGCAUACGUCCUGAGGGAGAAAGUGGGGGAUCUUCGGACCUCACGCUAUCAGAUGAGCCUAGGUCGGAUUAGCUAGUUGGUGGGGUAAAGGCCUACCAAGGCGACAAUCCGUAACUGGUCUGAGAGGAUGAUCAGUCACACUGGAACUGAGACACGGUCCAGACUCCUACGGGAGGCAGCAGUGGGGAAUAUUGGACAAUGGGCGAAAGCCUGAUCCAGCCAUGCCGCGUGUGUGAAGAAGGUCUUCGGAUUGUAAAGCACUUUAAGUUGGGAGGAAGGGCAGUAAGUUAAUACCUUGCUGUUUUGACGUUACCAACAGAAUAAGCACCGGCUAACUUCGUG